UAUUAAAAUUUUCAUUCAUUUUUAUUGUUAAUAACUAGUAUAGCUAACGAAAUAAUUAGAUUGUGACGCAUGGCACUUUACAUGUAACUUAUGUUGAGAUAUAUGAACCGGUUUAUAAUAGUAAAAAUGAAUGGAAUUUUAGACU
This 145-nucleotide microRNA precursor is filed under the name Gossypium arboreum. RNAcentral's name for it is "MIR7502 microRNA precursor family". It matches the Rfam family "MIR7502 microRNA precursor family". The record is from Rfam by way of RNAcentral. Lineage: Eukaryota; Viridiplantae; Streptophyta; Magnoliopsida; Malvales; Malvaceae.